Molecule: long non-coding RNA, 216 nt
Filed under: Phoenix dactylifera (date palm)
Lineage: Eukaryota; Viridiplantae; Streptophyta; Magnoliopsida; Arecales; Arecaceae
Description: long non-coding RNA (PDAC_LNC011777)
Source: RNAcentral
UCUCAGACAGGAAAUACCGAUAUUCUAUCUUUGGAGUUGAACUGCCUCGGAGUCGACUCGGACUUUGCGGGAGUCGACUCGGCUCUCAGACACCGAAGUACCGGUCUUCUGUCUUUGGAGUUGAACUGCCCUGGAGUCGACUCAAACUUUGCGGGAGUCGACUCAGCUCUCAGAUACCAAAGUUGGCUCUCUGACUUUUAGCUUUGCAUUUCUCUG